This 377-nucleotide ribosomal RNA is filed under the name uncultured bacterium. RNAcentral describes it as "bacterial SSU rRNA". It matches the Rfam family "Bacterial small subunit ribosomal RNA", at positions 521 to 896 of the family's 1533-position model. The record is from RNAcentral.
UAAGACAGAGGUGGCAAGCGUUGUUCGGAGUUACUGGGCGUAAAGCGCACGUAGGCGGUUCGGUCAGGCCUGUGUAAAAUCCCACUGCUCAACGGUGGAAUGACGCAGGCUACUGCCGAGCUAGAGAUUGGGAGAGGAGAGUGGAAUUCCCGGUGUAGCGGUGAAAUGCGUAGAUAUCGGGAGGAAGGCCGGUGGCGAAGGCGGCUCUCUGGACCGUUACUGACGCUGAGGUGCGAAAGCUAGGGGAGCAAACGGGAUUAGAUACCCCGGUAGUCCUAGCCGUAAACGAUGGGCACUAGGUGUUGGGGGUAUCAACCCCUCCAGCGCCGGAGCUAACGCAUUAAGUGCCCCGCCUGGGGAGUACGGUCGCAAGGCUG